AUUGAACGCUGGCGGCAGGCUUAACACAUGCAAGUCGAGCGGGGUGAUGGUGCUUGCACCUUAUCUUAGCGGCGGACGGGUGAGUAAUGCUUAGGAAUCUGCCUAUUAGUGGGGGACAACAUUCCGAAAGGAAUGCUAAUACCGCAUACGUCCUACGGGAGAAAGCAGGGGAUCUUCGGACCUUGCGCUAAUAGAUGAGCCUAAGUCGGAUUAGCUAGUUGGUGGGGUAAAGGCCUACCAAGGCGACGAUCUGUAGCGGGUCUGAGAGGAGGAUCCGCCACACUGGGACUGAGACACGGCCCAGACUCCUACGGGAGGCAGCAGUGGGGAAUAUUGGACAAUGGGGGAAACCCUGAUCCAGCCAUGCCGCGUGUGUGAAGAAGGCCUUAUGGUUGUAAAGCACUUUAAGCGAGGAGGAGGCUACUGAGACUAAUACUCUUGGAUAGUGGACGUUACUCGCAGAAUAAGCACCGGCUAACUCUGUGCCAGCCGCCGCAGUAA
Molecule: ribosomal RNA, 501 nt
Filed under: uncultured bacterium
Lineage: Bacteria
Description: partial 16S ribosomal RNA
Rfam family: Bacterial small subunit ribosomal RNA
Source: RNAcentral